This is a non-coding RNA of Nerophis lumbriciformis (worm pipefish), 384 nucleotides long. NCBI's taxonomy places the organism in Eukaryota, Metazoa, Chordata, Actinopteri, Syngnathiformes, Syngnathidae. The record is from RefSeq and is a predicted model, not a curated record.
CCUGGAGGAAGGUGAGGAUCCCAUGCAGCUGGGGAGAGCACGGCUGACGCAGGAGGAACGCCAGAGACGACAACUUGAAGGGCGGUGUUUUUACUGCGGGGAGCCGGGUCACCUCGUCGCCACCUGUCCGGUUAAAAGACCCAUAGGAAAUCGGAAUACCCGGACCUGAAUUCGGUGCUCCCAUGUUACCAUCAGCUACGAGAGGAUCCACCAUUCCCAAAGGUCGCCUGUACUCCGUUUCCGGUCCUGAGAGGGCGGCCAUGAAGGAGUACCUCACAGACUCAUUAAGAGCGGGACUGAUCCGCCCCUCCUCAUCACCAGCAGGUGCCGGCUUCUUCUUCGUGGACAAAAAAGAUGGAACCCUGAGACCCUGCAUCGACUACA